Molecule: small RNA, 28 nt
Filed under: Bombyx mori (domestic silkworm)
Lineage: Eukaryota; Metazoa; Arthropoda; Insecta; Lepidoptera; Bombycidae
Description: ovarian small RNA-8426
Source: RNAcentral
UGAUUGUAGGUCAUUUCAACAACUGUAU